GGAAUAUUGGACAAUGGGCGAAAGCCUGAUCCAGCCAUGCCGCGUGUGUGAAGAAGGUCUUCGGAUUGUAAAGCACUUUAAGUUGGGAGGAAGGGCAUUAACCUAAUACGUUAGUGUUUUGACGUUACCGACAGAAUAAGCACCGGCUAACUCUGUGCCAGCAGCCGCGGUAAUACAGAGGGUGCAAGCGUUAAUCGGAAUUACUGGGCGUAAAGCGCGCGUAGGUGGUUUGUUAAGUUGAAUGUGAAAUCCCCGGGCUCAACCUGGGAACUGCAUCCAAAACUGGCAAGCUAGAGUAUGGUAGAGGGUAGUGGAAUUUCCUGUGUAGCGGUGAAAUGCGUAGAUAUAGGAAGGAACACCAGUGGCGAAGGCGACUACCUGGACUGAUACUGACACUGAGGUGCGAAAGCGUGGGGAGCAAACAGGAUUAGAUACCCGUG
This 440-nucleotide ribosomal RNA is filed under the name uncultured Pseudomonas sp. RNAcentral describes it as "bacterial SSU rRNA". It matches the Rfam family "Bacterial small subunit ribosomal RNA", at positions 358 to 790 of the family's 1533-position model. Lineage: Bacteria; Pseudomonadati; Pseudomonadota; Gammaproteobacteria; Pseudomonadales; Pseudomonadaceae. The record is from RNAcentral.